AAAAAGAAAAAAAAUACAUGUACAGCAAAAGAGAGUGUAGGCCCUUGAAAACUGCCUGAAGAACCGCGCAAGGAAACGGAGAGGGGCGGGAUUUCGCUUUGAUUCCUUCCGUGACCCGUGUGCUCUUUGGAUCCUGAGGGGUUUGCAGGCUCAUCGCCCUGCGCUACCCACCGCCGGCUGAGGAGGGCGCUGUGGCCGCCGGAAUCCCGUCGACCAGGGCAGGGACGACAGCACCGAGGGCGGUGCCGCAUGCGCAGCAGCAGGAGCCGAAGCGCUGCGGCGUGAAGUCUUCCCGUGGGAAAUCCAGUUGUCGCCGAGGGCGCCGGCCCGGCGGCUCUGUCGCUCUUGGCGUUGCGUGGGUGGCACCUUGGGGCGCAGAGGAGCCAACGGCAUCAUGCCCGCCACCGCUGGGGCCAGAGACGCGUUUUCUCCGGACGGCCCUCCGGCAAGAGGCAAAGGGUGCAGGCCACGCCCCCGAAAGGUGGAAAGACUGUAUCCCAGUUGGACAGCACCUGCCAGGGACUCGUUUCAUUGCUAUCAAAGUUCCUUUGAAAAAGAUUCCAGAUAUUAGUGAAACCAUAUGGUAUUCGUCUUUCUCUGACUGACUUAUUUC
Manis javanica (Malayan pangolin) is the source of this 613-nucleotide non-coding RNA. The record is from RefSeq and is a predicted model, not a curated record. Lineage: Eukaryota; Metazoa; Chordata; Mammalia; Pholidota; Manidae.